UUCUCAUCGGGAUCCUUGCCUUAGUGAAUGUCCAGACCAUUUGUUUAUCCAUUGUCCUUUCUCAUUGGGAUCCUUGCCUUAGCGAAUGUCCACUGGGUUAAGCCCUCCUCCAUCAAGGAUCUCUUUUUCUCUUGGCAUGCAGCGAACGGUGGGAGAGUUGGUAGGAAGAAAUGGAGACUUGCUUUGUUAGCUAUUCUAUGGGCAAUCUAGGAGAAUGGAAUAAUCGGUGCUUCUGUAAUAAAAAGCAUCUCAGUUGCUAGGGUUUUUAAUAAGGUUAUUCAGUACUUCUAGGAUUGGGCUCCUUGAUUUGGGUUUUGUUGUUUUUUGGGGUUAUUCCAACUGAGAGGCUGGCUGUUGUUGUAUUUCUACCUUUUGCUUUAGGUUUUUUAAAAGGCCUUUUCUAGGUUUUUUGGUCUCUUUCUCUCUCUCUCUCUCUCUCUCUCUCUCUGUGUUUGCUUUCCUUCUUUGUUUGCUCCUCUUUUUCUUUUUGGCUGCGGCCUAAUAAAGUUUCAUCUUUCAAAAAAAAAGAAAAAAAGAAAAAAAAAAGGUUUGCUUGGAGUGAGAUGUAUGCACACAAACAUGCGUAUGUGGUUGAAUCCUCUUAAAUGGGACAAUAUGUGCUGAGUUUUGAAAGUCAAGCCUGAUUGUAGGCGGUUUGGGGUCGUUUUUGCUGUAAAGGUGGGGCGUACUGUAUUGUACAGUAUCAGAAUCAGUACAUAUUGGUCAGUAGAUACCAUUACCGACUAUAUUUUAAACCUUGGUAUUCAGGGACUGUUGUUGGUGUAAUAAGGCCAACAUGAACUAGACCACAUGCAUUGUCAUCCAAUGUCUCUUGAUGUUGACUACUACUGUAACACUGGUCAAUCGCUUCUCUUGCUAGGUUGCGACAAGUUUUCAAUGUAGGCAGAGUCCUGGUGAUCCUACAGAGUCAUCCAAUGGGACCCUUUAAGGAGAGUAGGCCAAAUUCUGCCAGUCCGCAAGCAUUGUCAUCUAAUUACUCACUAUUGGUUGACUGUUAUGGCAAAAUUUGUCAAAUAAAUCCUCUAACCAGGUUGCUUUGAGACACUACAUGAAUCCCUUCUUGUGGCCUUGUCAUAGGGGUAUUUGUGUUGGUAGCUAGAUGUGUCAUGUAAAUGGUUUACACCAUGCUAUUUUUGAACCUUUCAAUGUGGCAUAUGAUGAUGUCUGUAAUGCAGAUGGCAUCUUGGCAUCAAAUGCACUUGUUAUGAGCUAAAUCUGUUCAAUAUUUCUCUUUGCCUUAGUUUGUUAUCCUCUAUGUUAACUCACGUACUUUAGUACAGCUAUAGUUUCUUGAUUUAGUUGUGCUCUAUUCUAUCCGUUGAAUGGAGCUACUGUGCUUCUUUGUGUGCAUGACUGUCAUUGGUGGUUUAAGCAUAUGAUGUGCUCUGCAUUUGAAGUCUUGAAGGUGUGUUCUACACUUUGUACAUCCUCAAAAAGUCAAGCACAAAGUUUUGUGCUGCGCUUGGAUCCAUUUCCUGCUCCUUACUUCUGAGCAGUUCAUAUAUAUAUAUAUAUAUAUACACAUACAUACAUACAUACAUAUACAUGUAUGUAUGUAUAUGUGUUGAUAUAUUGAAGUUCUUCAGAGACUUUAUUCUGUUAAAGGGUGUCCCAAGCAAGGUGGUUUGUCUCUCUUGCGGACUUAAUGGGCCUUCUAUCUCAAGAGUUGACGAGGAGCAAUAAACCACCGUGCAGCUUCUUCUGCCCAAAAUCUUUAUGGACAAGGAUGGAAGAAUCAGUUGUACUUGCUACCAAAAUGCCAGCCAUUUGUUCUUCCUUAUGGGCUUCUUGAUACUGUUGGAAAGGAAGAGUUGAACGAUGGAGUAUAACCUUAAGGGCUUUCCAAAGAGAUCUGUUGUACUGGAAAACCCCAUUUGAGAAGAUGAAUGUUGGAAAAUGUUGUAAGGAGUACUUAAGAGGUUUUAUACAUUGUUUCUACUAUUGGAAUCCAGACCAGGAUAUGUUGACCCAAAAAACUUGAUUCGGGUGAGUUGACCAGGUGAUAUGUACAAGUUUCUGAAAUUUUAACUAAGUUGGAUUUGAUAGCAUAAUAACAGAAAGAAUGUGUGAAAUUCUACAAAACAUAUGGAGCAGUUGAAUGGAGAAUCCAUACAAACAAUAGAAAGUCUGAUUGUUCUUGAGGGGACACCAAAACUCGUUGUCCCUUAAUCCGAACUGUACACAUGUUACGUGAUUGGACAUUCAUAUGAUGGGCAAACUGUGGAUUGGCCAGUCCAAAAUCACUACCUUUCAGAUCAUCCUGUUUUUGCAUAAAUGGAUGGUUAAAAACAAAUAUCAGCAAUGGUCAGCACAAAUGGGCAGAAUUUGUCCAAUUAGAUGAAAUUUGCUCAUCAUCCUGUGCGAGUUUGGGGAAUGUUACAUCUCUUGUUGGCUCACUAAAUGAAUAGUAUGAAUCUCGUACAUUUGUGCUGCAUCUAUAGUUUUAGGAGGACGCUAGCUCAUCGAAAAAAGAUUGAGGGACCCUAGUUAUUGGUCUCCGUAAGAAACACCAAAGACUUCCCUGCAAACAAUAAACGAGCACGCACCUGUUUCUAAAAAAAUGUACCACGAGUGGAAUUCACCCAUAUCAAAACUGAGUUUAACCAUUUGAUUAAUGAAUGACCCGGUUGAGUAGAAACUGAUCCAGUUGAAUCAGACGAUUUCCUUUUUAUUUAGUUGGGUUGAGAUUUCGACAAGGUAAAACAUGACAGUAUUGGCUGCUGAAUUGGUUGAUACGGCCCCCAAAUAAAAAUGUAGGCUGCUGUAUCACCUAUAUCAAAACUGAGGAUCCCAAAUAUCCAUGCUUUUUUUUUUUUUUUUUUUUGGUUUUAGAUGUGCGUUUAAUAGUAUAACGGGCCAUUCUUUGGUAAGAAUGUUGUUUGUUGGGUAAGCGUAAGCUUGACCUUACUGAAAGUCGACCACAUAGGCCCUAAUCGAACACAAAUCAAGCACGAUUUGCUUACAUAUAAUUACUAUCUAAAAUAAAAUAAAAUAAAAUAAAAAUACAGUGAGAUGGGAAAAUGGAAAAAAGUGAUGGUUUACCCGUUCUUCCAAUGUUCCCAAAAUGGUCCACGCCACUUUGGUUCGUUGAAUCCUUGGAAUAGGACUAGGUCCGGUUUAAAUUUAGUUUCUAAGCUUCCUUCAUGGUUGAAAUAAAUAAAGAAGUGGAAAAAAUGAGAGAAAUUGGAAAAGAAAUUUCAUAAUGGGCCCUUUAUGGUUGUAACAGCCCGUAACGGGCAUAUCGGUCCAUUACAACUAAUGUGGGCCAUUAAAGCCCAUUUUUUU
Molecule: long non-coding RNA, 3306 nt
Organism: Magnolia sinica
Lineage: Eukaryota; Viridiplantae; Streptophyta; Magnoliopsida; Magnoliales; Magnoliaceae
Exons: 2
Source: RefSeq, a predicted model, not a curated record